GAUGAACGCUGGCGGCGUGCUUAACACAUGCAAGUCGAGCGAAGCACUUUUGCGGAUUUCUUCGGAUUGAAGCAACUGUGACUGAGCGGCGGACGGGUGAGUAACGCGUGGGUAACCUGCCUCAUACAGAGGGAUAACAGUUGGAAACGGCUGCUAAUACCGCAUAAGCGCACAGUACCGCAUGGUACGGUGUGAAAAACUCCGGUGGUAUGAGAUGGACCCGCGUCUGAUUAGGUAGUUGGUGGGGUAACGGCCUACCAAGCCGACGAUCAGUAGCCGACCUGAGAGGGUGACCGGCCACAUUGGGACUGAGACACGGCCCAAACUCCUACGGGAGGCAGCAGUGGGGAAUAUUGCACAAUGGGGGAAACCCUGAUGCAGCGACGCCGCGUGAGCGAUGAAGUAUUUCGGUAUGUAAAGCUCUAUCAGCAGGGAAGAAAAUGACGGUACCUGACUAAGAAGCCCCGGCUAACUACGUGCCAGCAGCCGCGGUAAUACGUAGGGGGCAAGCGUUAUCCGGAUUUACUGGGUGUAAAGGGAGCGUAGACGGCAUGGCAAGCCAGAUGUGAAAGCCCGGGGCUCAACCCCGGGACUGCAUUUGGAACUGUCAGGCUAGAGUGUCGGAGAGGAAAGCGGAAUUCCUAGUGUAGCGGUGAAAUGCGUAGAUAUUAGGAGGAACACCAGUGGCGAAGGC
RNAcentral lists this ribosomal RNA (694 nucleotides) under uncultured Lachnospiraceae bacterium. RNAcentral's name for it is "bacterial SSU rRNA". It matches the Rfam family "Bacterial small subunit ribosomal RNA", at positions 28 to 722 of the family's 1533-position model. Lineage: Bacteria; Bacillati; Bacillota; Clostridia; Lachnospirales; Lachnospiraceae. The record is from RNAcentral.